GUUCUGGCUCAGGAUGAACGCUAGCUACAGGCUUAACACAUGCAAGUCGAGGGGCAGCGGGAUCUAGCUUGCUAGAUUGGCCGGCGACCGGCGCACGGGUGAGUAGCGCGUAUCCAACCUUCCCCUUAGUAGGGCAUAGCCCGUAGAAAUGCGGAUUAAUACCCUAUGUUGUCAAUGCGGACAUCUAAGUUGAACCAAAGGUUUACCGCUAAGGGAUGGGGAUGCGUCCGAUUAGGCCGCAGGCGGGGUAACGGCCCACCUGGCCAACGAUCGGUAGGGGUUCUGAGAGGAAGGUCCCCCACAUUGGAACUGAGACACGGUCCAAACUCCUACGGGAGGCAGCAGUGAGGAAUAUUGGUCAAUGGGCGAGAGCCUGAACCAGCCAAGUAGCGUGCAGGACGACGGCCCUAUGGGUUGUAAACUGUCUUUUAUGCGGGGAUAAAGUUCACUACGCGUAGUGUUUUGUAGGUACCGCAUGAAUAAGGACCGGCUAAUUCCGUGCCAGCCGCGGC
RNAcentral lists this ribosomal RNA (512 nucleotides) under uncultured bacterium. RNAcentral's name for it is "bacterial SSU rRNA". It matches the Rfam family "Bacterial small subunit ribosomal RNA", at positions 16 to 518 of the family's 1533-position model. The record is from RNAcentral.